UAGAUUUCAUCUGUAUCUUCGAACGAACAAGUUUCUGCUCCGUUAGUAAACGGGCUAUGAUGGUAGACGUUUAGUGGAAUAGAAGUAUAGGACUCCGGGGCAGUACCGGACAGCUCCACCAUCCUUGUCUGGAUCUCGCAAGGGACUUACCGCCCAGACGCUAAGGAAAUAAGGCACCUCCCUGUGGUACAGGUCCGGGUAAUGCCGGUGAACAACUUGAAUAGCUGCUUUACCAUGGGGCUGAAGCAGGAUCGACUAGCUUAGUAAAGACGAAAUUGCCAUCCGGCAUGAUUCCGCCGUUAUCGGGUCGAACACUACAAGUGCCAAUGACAACAAUGUCAUGGAGAUGGCGGUCGCUGCGUAAGCCUAACGGCUGAGUAGAGACCAAUAUCACUGGGGUUUCGGCAGUUGCACCUUGCAACAGAAGCAGCUGCCACU
Molecule: transfer-messenger RNA, 438 nt
Filed under: Paramagnetospirillum kuznetsovii
Lineage: Bacteria; Pseudomonadati; Pseudomonadota; Alphaproteobacteria; Rhodospirillales; Magnetospirillaceae
Description: Magnetospirillum sp. LBB-42 transfer-messenger RNA
Rfam family: Alphaproteobacteria transfer-messenger RNA
About the family: Bacterial tmRNA, also known as 10Sa RNA or SsrA, is named for its dual tRNA and mRNA-like properties.
Source: RNAcentral